Molecule: ribosomal RNA, 108 nt
Filed under: Phycisphaera mikurensis
Lineage: Bacteria; Pseudomonadati; Planctomycetota; Phycisphaerae; Phycisphaerales; Phycisphaeraceae
Also listed under: 1 other name
Source: RNAcentral
GCCGGUGACAACAGUGCUGGGGUCCCACCCGUUCCCAUUCCGAACACGGCCGUUAAGCCCAGCACGCCGAUGAUACUGCAACCGCGGGAAAGUAGGUCAUUGCCGGCU